This 72-nucleotide transfer RNA is filed under the name Felis catus (domestic cat). It matches the Rfam family "tRNA". From Rfam's summary of the family: Transfer RNA (tRNA) molecules are approximately 80 nucleotides in length. Their secondary structure includes four short double-helical elements and three loops (D, anti-codon, and T loops). Lineage: Eukaryota; Metazoa; Chordata; Mammalia; Carnivora; Felidae. The record is from Rfam by way of RNAcentral.
GCCUGGCUGGCUUAGUCAGUAGAGCAUGCAAUCUUGAUCUUGGGGUCAUGGGUUCAAGUCCCAUGUCUGGUG